RNAcentral lists this ribosomal RNA (908 nucleotides) under uncultured bacterium. Its description in RNAcentral is "bacterial SSU rRNA". It matches the Rfam family "Bacterial small subunit ribosomal RNA", at positions 56 to 973 of the family's 1533-position model. The record is from RNAcentral.
UGCAGUCGAACGAUGAACACCGGAGCUUGCUCUGGUGGGAUUAGUGGCGAACGGGUGAGUAACACGUGAGCAAUCUGCCCCCGACUCUGGGAUAACCCCGAGAAAUUGGAGCUAAUACCGGAUACGACACCUCCUGGCAUCAGGUGGGUGUGGAAAGAAUUUCGGUUGGGGAUGAGCUCGCGGCCUAUCAGCUUGUUGGUGAGGUAAUGGCUCACCAAGGCGACGACGGGUAGCCGGCCUGAGAGGGUGACCGGCCACACUGGGACUGAGACACGGCCCAGACUCCUACGGGAGGCAGCAGUGGGGAAUAUUGCACAAUGGGCGCAAGCCUGAUGCAGCAACGCCGCGUGGGGGACGAAGGCCUUCGGGUUGUAAACCUCUUUUGGCAGGGAAGAAGCGAAAGUGACGGUACCUGCAGAAAAAGCACCGGCUAACUACGUGCCAGCAGCCGCGGUAAUACGUAGGGUGCAAGCGUUGUCCGGAAUUAUUGGGCGUAAAGAGCUCGUAGGCGGUGUGUCACGUCUGCUGUGAAAAUCCAAGGCUCAACCUUGGACUUGCAGUGGGUACGGGCACACUCGAGUGCGGUAGGGGAGAUUGGAAUUCCUGGUGUAGCGGUGGAAUGCGCAGAUAUCAGGAGGAACACCGAUGGCGAAGGCAGAUCUCUGGGCCGUAACUGACGCUGAGGAGCGAAAGCGUGGGGAGCGAACAGGAUUAGAUACCCUGGUAGUCCACGCCGUAAACGGUGGGAACUAGAUGUGGGGUCCGUUCCACGGAUUCCGUGUCGCAGCUAACGCAUUAAGUUCCCCGCCUGGGGAGUACGGCCGCAAGGCUAAAACUCAAAGGAAUUGACGGGGCCCGCACAAGCGGCGGAGCAUGCGGAUUAAUUCGAUGCAACGCGAAGAACCUUA